RNAcentral lists this ribosomal RNA (255 nucleotides) under Escherichia coli. RNAcentral describes it as "partial 23S ribosomal RNA". It matches the Rfam family "Bacterial large subunit ribosomal RNA", at positions 830 to 1082 of the family's 2925-position model. Lineage: Bacteria; Pseudomonadati; Pseudomonadota; Gammaproteobacteria; Enterobacterales; Enterobacteriaceae. The record is from RNAcentral.
CAAUCAAACCGGGAGAUAGCUGGUUCUCCCCGAAAGCUAUUUAGGUAGCGCCUCGUGAAUUCAUCUCCGGGGGUAGAGCACUGUUUCGGCAAGGGGGUCAUCCCGACUUACCAACCCGAUGCAAACUACGAAUACCGGAGAAUGUUAUCACGGGAGACACACGGCGGGUGCUAACGUCCGUCGUGAAGAGGGAAACAACCCAGACCGCCAGCUAAGGUCCCAAAGUCAUGGUUAAGUGGGAAACGAUGUGGGAAG